This 2902-nucleotide ribosomal RNA is filed under the name human gut metagenome. RNAcentral's name for it is "bacterial LSU rRNA". It matches the Rfam family "Bacterial large subunit ribosomal RNA". The record is from RNAcentral.
UUAAGCGACUAAGCGUACACGGUGGAUGCCCUGGCAGUCAGAGGCGAUGAAGGACGUGCUAAUCUGCGAUAAGCGUCGGUAAGGUGAUAUGAACCGUUAUAACCGGCGAUUUCCGAAUGGGGAAACCCAGUGUGUUUCGACACACUAUCAUUAACUGAAUCCAUAGGUUAAUGAGGCGAACCGGGGGAACUGAAACAUCUAAGUACCCCGAGGAAAAGAAAUCAACCGAGAUUCCCCCAGUAGCGGCGAGCGAACGGGGAGCAGCCCAGAGCCUGAAUCAGUGUGUGUGUUAGUGGAAGCGUCUGGAAAGGCGCGCGAUACAGGGUGACAGCCCCGUACACAAAAAUGCACAUACUGUGAGCUCGAUGAGUAGGGCGGGACACGUGGUAUCCUGUCUGAAUAUGGGGGGACCAUCCUCCAAGGCUAAAUACUCCUGACUGACCGAUAGUGAACCAGUACCGUGAGGGAAAGGCGAAAAGAACCCCGGCGAGGGGAGUGAAAAAGAACCUGAAACCGUGUACGUACAAGCAGUGGGAGCACGCUUAGGCGUGUGACUGCGUACCUUUUGUAUAAUGGGUCAGCGACUUAUAUUCUGUAGCAAGGUUAACCGAAUAGGGGAGCCGAAGGGAAACCGAGUCUUAACUGGGCGUUAAGUUGCAGGGUAUAGACCCGAAACCCGGUGAUCUAGCCAUGGGCAGGUUGAAGGUUGGGUAACACUAACUGGAGGACCGAACCGACUAAUGUUGAAAAAUUAGCGGAUGACUUGUGGCUGGGGGUGAAAGGCCAAUCAAACCGGGAGAUAGCUGGUUCUCCCCGAAAGCUAUUUAGGUAGCGCCUCGUGAAUUCAUCUCCGGGGGUAGAGCACUGUUUCGGCAAGGGGGUCAUCCCGACUUACCAACCCGAUGCAAACUGCGAAUACCGGAGAAUGUUAUCACGGGAGACACACGGCGGGUGCUAACGUCCGUCGUGAAGAGGGAAACAACCCAGACCGCCAGCUAAGGUCCCAAAGUCAUGGUUAAGUGGGAAACGAUGUGGGAAGGCCCAGACAGCCAGGAUGUUGGCUUAGAAGCAGCCAUCAUUUAAAGAAAGCGUAAUAGCUCACUGGUCGAGUCGGCCUGCGCGGAAGAUGUAACGGGGCUAAACCAUGCACCGAAGCUGCGGCAGCGACGCUUAUGCGUUGUUGGGUAGGGGAGCGUUCUGUAAGCCUGCGAAGGUGUGCUGUGAGGCAUGCUGGAGGUAUCAGAAGUGCGAAUGCUGACAUAAGUAACGAUAAAGCGGGUGAAAAGCCCGCUCGCCGGAAGACCAAGGGUUCCUGUCCAACGUUAAUCGGGGCAGGGUGAGUCGACCCCUAAGGCGAGGCCGAAAGGCGUAGUCGAUGGGAAACAGGUUAAUAUUCCUGUACUUGGUGUUACUGCGAAGGGGGGACGGAGAAGGCUAUGUUGGCCGGGCGACGGUUGUCCCGGUUUAAGCGUGUAGGCUGGUUUUCCAGGCAAAUCCGGAAAAUCAAGGCUGAGGCGUGAUGACGAGGCACUACGGUGCUGAAGCAACAAAUGCCCUGCUUCCAGGAAAAGCCUCUAAGCAUCAGGUAACAUCAAAUCGUACCCCAAACCGACACAGGUGGUCAGGUAGAGAAUACCAAGGCGCUUGAGAGAACUCGGGUGAAGGAACUAGGCAAAAUGGUGCCGUAACUUCGGGAGAAGGCACGCUGAUAUGUAGGUGAAGUCCCUCGCGGAUGGAGCUGAAAUCAGUCGAAGAUACCAGCUGGCUGCAACUGUUUAUUAAAAACACAGCACUGUGCAAACACGAAAGUGGACGUAUACGGUGUGACGCCUGCCCGGUGCCGGAAGGUUAAUUGAUGGGGUUAGCGCAAGCGAAGCUCUUGAUCGAAGCCCCGGUAAACGGCGGCCGUAACUAUAACGGUCCUAAGGUAGCGAAAUUCCUUGUCGGGUAAGUUCCGACCUGCACGAAUGGCGUAAUGAUGGCCAGGCUGUCUCCACCCGAGACUCAGUGAAAUUGAACUCGCUGUGAAGAUGCAGUGUACCCGCGGCAAGACGGAAAGACCCCGUGAACCUUUACUAUAGCUUGACACUGAACAUUGAGCCUUGAUGUGUAGGAUAGGUGGGAGGCUUUGAAGUGUGGACGCCAGUCUGCAUGGAGCCGACCUUGAAAUACCACCCUUUAAUGUUUGAUGUUCUAACGUUGACCCGUAAUCCGGGUUGCGGACAGUGUCUGGUGGGUAGUUUGACUGGGGCGGUCUCCUCCUAAAGAGUAACGGAGGAGCACGAAGGUUGGCUAAUCCUGGUCGGACAUCAGGAGGUUAGUGCAAUGGCAUAAGCCAGCUUGACUGCGAGCGUGACGGCGCGAGCAGGUGCGAAAGCAGGUCAUAGUGAUCCGGUGGUUCUGAAUGGAAGGGCCAUCGCUCAACGGAUAAAAGGUACUCCGGGGAUAACAGGCUGAUACCGCCCAAGAGUUCAUAUCGACGGCGGUGUUUGGCACCUCGAUGUCGGCUCAUCACAUCCUGGGGCUGAAGUAGGUCCCAAGGGUAUGGCUGUUCGCCAUUUAAAGUGGUACGCGAGCUGGGUUUAGAACGUCGUGAGACAGUUCGGUCCCUAUCUGCCGUGGGCGCUGGAGAACUGAGGGGGGCUGCUCCUAGUACGAGAGGACCGGAGUGGACGCAUCACUGGUGUUCGGGUUGUCAUGCCAAUGGCACUGCCCGGUAGCUAAAUGCGGAAGAGAUAAGUGCUGAAAGCAUCUAAGCACGAAACUUGCCCCGAGAUGAGUUCUCCCUGACUCCUUGAGAGUCCUGAAGGAACGUUGAAGACGACGACGUUGAUAGGCCGGGUGUGUAAGCGCAGCGAUGCGUUGAGCUAACCGGUACUAAUGAACCGUGAGGCUUAACCUU